Thalassophryne amazonica is the source of this 113-nucleotide long non-coding RNA. RefSeq lists it as uncharacterized. Lineage: Eukaryota; Metazoa; Chordata; Actinopteri; Batrachoidiformes; Batrachoididae. The record is from RefSeq and is a predicted model, not a curated record. The transcript has 3 exons.
UCAGCUUGUAGAUGAUCUAGAAUCUUCAUUCCAGUGGCUAAAUGCACAUUUUCAGGGACAAGGAAUCCAAUGGUGCCAAUUACAAAAAUGUAAAUAAGGUAAAAUCACAUUUA